GAUAAACGCUGGCGGCGUGCCUAACACAUGCAAGUCGAACGCGUGUAGCAAUACACGAGUGGCGCACGGGUGAGUAACACGUGGAUUAUCUGCCUUUUGGUUCGGAAUAACCCCGGGAAACUGGGGCUAAUACCGGAUGGUUCCUACGGGAUAAAGAUUUAUCGCCAAAAGAUGAGUCCGCGCCCGAUUAGCUAGUUGGCGGGGUAAUGGCCCACCAAGGCAACGAUCGGUAGCUGGUCUGAGAGGACGAUCAGCCACACUGGGACUGAGACACGGC
This 277-nucleotide ribosomal RNA is filed under the name uncultured bacterium. RNAcentral's name for it is "partial 16S ribosomal RNA". It matches the Rfam family "Bacterial small subunit ribosomal RNA", at positions 28 to 330 of the family's 1533-position model. The record is from RNAcentral.